This 27-nucleotide small RNA is filed under the name Bombyx mori (domestic silkworm). RNAcentral's name for it is "ovarian small RNA-32544". The record is from RNAcentral. Lineage: Eukaryota; Metazoa; Arthropoda; Insecta; Lepidoptera; Bombycidae.
UGAUAUGAGGUUUAAUGGGUCCUGUGA